GGAGAGAUGGCCGAGCGGCUGAAGGCGCUCCCCUGCUAAGGGAGUAUGGGUUUUAUCGCCCAUCGAGGGUUCGAAUCCCUCUCUCUUCGCCA
RNAcentral lists this transfer RNA (92 nucleotides) under Methylococcaceae bacterium. Its description in RNAcentral is "tRNA-Ser". It matches the Rfam family "tRNA". From Rfam's summary of the family: Transfer RNA (tRNA) molecules are approximately 80 nucleotides in length. Their secondary structure includes four short double-helical elements and three loops (D, anti-codon, and T loops). Further hydrogen bonds mediate the characteristic L-shaped molecular structure. tRNAs have two regions of fundamental functional importance: the anti-codon, which is responsible for specific mRNA codon recognition, and the 3' end, to which the tRNAs corresponding amino acid is attached (by aminoacyl-tRNA synthetases). tRNAs cope with the degeneracy of the genetic code in two manners: having more than one tRNA (with a specific anti-codon) for a particular amino acid; and 'wobble' base-pairing, i.e. permitting non-standard base-pairing at the 3rd anti-codon position. The record is from RNAcentral. RNAcentral also lists the same sequence under 1 other name. Lineage: Bacteria; Pseudomonadati; Pseudomonadota; Gammaproteobacteria; Methylococcales; Methylococcaceae.